UGGGGAAUAUUGCACAAUGGGCGAAAGCCUGAUGCAGCAACGCCGCGUGAGUGAUGAAGGCCUUCGGGUUGUAAAGCUCUGUCUUUUGGGACGAUAAUGACGGUACCAAAGGAGGAAGCCACGGCUAACUACGUGCCAGCAGCCGCGGUAAUACGUAGGUGGCAAGCGUUGUCCGGAUUUACUGGGCGUAAAGGAUGCGUAGGCGGAUUUUUAAGUGAGAUGUGAAAUACCCGGGCUUAACUUGGGUGCUGCAUUUCAAACUGGGAAUCUAGAGUGCGGGAGAGGAGAAUGGAAUUCCUAGUGUAGCGGUGAAAUGCGUAGAGAUUAGGAAGAGCACCAGUGGCGAAGGCGAUUCUCUGGACCGUAACUGACGCUGAGGCAUGAAAGCGUGGGUAGCAAACAGGAUUAGAUACCCUGGUAGUCCACGCCGUAAACGAUGAGUACUAGGUGUAGGAGGUAUCGACCCCUUCUGUGCCGCAGUUAACACAAUAAGUACUCCGCCUGGGAAGUACGAUCGCAAGAUUAAACUUAAAUGAAUUGACGGGGUCAUAGCUGUUUCCU
This 561-nucleotide ribosomal RNA is filed under the name uncultured bacterium. RNAcentral describes it as "partial 16S ribosomal RNA". It matches the Rfam family "Bacterial small subunit ribosomal RNA", at positions 355 to 1375 of the family's 1533-position model. The record is from RNAcentral.